UACGAAGGGGGCUAGCGUUGCUCGGAAUCACUGGGCGUAAAGGGUGCGUAGGCGGGUUUUUAAGUCAGGGGUGAAAUCCUGGAGCUCAACUCCAGAACUGCCUUUGAUACUGAAAAUCUUGAGUUCGGGAGAGGUGAGUGGAACUGCGAGUGUAGAGGUGAAAUUCGUAGAUAUUCGCAAGAACACCAGUGGCGAAGGCGGCUCACUGGCCCGGUACUGACGCUGAGGCACGAAAGCGUGGGGAGCAAACAGG
Molecule: ribosomal RNA, 253 nt
Filed under: uncultured bacterium
Lineage: Bacteria
Description: partial 16S ribosomal RNA
Rfam family: Bacterial small subunit ribosomal RNA
Source: RNAcentral